Molecule: long non-coding RNA, 201 nt
Filed under: Setaria viridis
Lineage: Eukaryota; Viridiplantae; Streptophyta; Magnoliopsida; Poales; Poaceae
Description: long non-coding RNA (SVIR_LNC004951)
Source: RNAcentral
UUCUGUACGAAAACGUUUGGCAAAACAGCUUCUCCUAGCUUUUUGAAUGUAAAGAAGAUGUCAAAUGUCCAAAAUACCCUUAUAUUUUUUUUCUCUCUUUUCUUUUUCUUUUUUCUCUUCAUUUUCUUUUUCUUUUUCUUUCCUUUUUUAUUUCUCUUUCCUCCCCCCUCUUUUCUUUUCCCCUCCUCUCCCUCCUCUCUC